CACGUAGUUAGCCGUGACUUUCUGGUUGAUUACCGUCAAAUAAAGGCCAGUUACUACCUCUAUCCUUCUUCACCAACAACAGAGCUUUACGAUCCGAAAACCUUCUUCACUCACGCGGCGUUGCUCCAUCAGACUUUCGUCCAUUGUGGAAGAUUCCCUACUGCUGCCUCCCGUAGGAGUUUGGGCCGUGUCUCAGUCCCAAUGUGGCCGAUCAGUCUCUCAACUCGGCUAUGCAUCAUCGCCUUGGUAAGCUGUUACCUUACCAACUAGCUAAUGCAUCGCAGGUCCAUCCUUUAGCGACAGCUUACGCCGCCUUUUAAACUUCUUUCAUGCGAAAGUAGCUUUUAUCCGGUAUUAGCAUCUGUUUCCAAAUGGUAUCCCAGACUUAAGGGCAGGUUACCCACGCGUUACUCACCCAUCCGCCGCUAGCUUGUAUCUAUGUCCAUUCCGAAGAAUUUCUAUAGGCAAGCUCGCUCGACUUGCAUGUAUUAGGCACGCCG
RNAcentral lists this ribosomal RNA (500 nucleotides) under uncultured Lactobacillus sp. Its description in RNAcentral is "partial 16S ribosomal RNA". Lineage: Bacteria; Bacillati; Bacillota; Bacilli; Lactobacillales; Lactobacillaceae. The record is from RNAcentral.